CCUAUCUGCCGUGGGCGCUGGAGAAUUGAGGGGGGCUGCUCCUAGUACGAGAGGACCGGAGUGGACGCAUCACUGGUGUUCGGGUUGUCAUGCCAAUGGCACUGCCCGGUAGCUAAAUGCGGAAGAGAUAAGUGCUGAAAGCAUCUAAGCACGAAACUUGCCCCGAGAUGAGUUCUCCCUGAGACUAUAAGUCUCCUGAAGGAACGUUAAAGACGAUGACGUUGAUAGGCCGGGUGUGUAAGCGCAGCGAUGCGUUGAGCUAACCGGUACUAAUGAACCGUGAGGCUUAACCUUACAACGCCGAAGAUGUUUUG
This 314-nucleotide ribosomal RNA is filed under the name Klebsiella pneumoniae. RNAcentral's name for it is "Large Subunit Ribosomal RNA; lsuRNA; LSU rRNA". It matches the Rfam family "Bacterial large subunit ribosomal RNA", at positions 2637 to 2925 of the family's 2925-position model. The record is from RNAcentral. Lineage: Bacteria; Pseudomonadati; Pseudomonadota; Gammaproteobacteria; Enterobacterales; Enterobacteriaceae.